CCUACGGGAGGCAGCAGUGAGGAAUAUUGGACAAUGGGCGCAAGCCUGAUCCAGCCAUGCCGCGUGCAGGAUGAAGCAUCUAUGGUGUGUAAACUGCUUUUAUACAGGAAGAAACCUCCCGACGUGUCGGGAAUUGACGGUACUGUAAGAAUAAGGAUCGGCUAACUCCGUGCCAGCAGCCGCGGUAAUACGGAGGAUCCAAGCGUUAUCCGGAAUCAUUGGGUUUAAAGGGUCCGUAGGCGGGCCAGUAAGUCAGUGGUGAAAUCUCUCCGCUCAACGGGGAAAUGGCCAUUGAUACUGCUGGUCUUGAAUUAUUAGGAAGUAACUAGAAUAUGUAGUGUAGCGGUGAAAUGCUUAGAGAUUACAUGGAAUACCAAUUGCGAAGGCAGGUUACUACUAAUGGAUUGACGCUGAUGGACGAAAGCGUGGGUAGCGAACAGGAUUAGAUACCCUGGUAGUCCACGCCGUAAACGAUGGAUACUAGCUGUUGGGGGCAACUUCAGUGGCUAAGCGAAAGUGAUAAGUAUCCCACCUGGGGAGUACGUUCGCAAGAAUGAAACUUAAAUGAAUUGACCGGNUGAGACGCGAGACGACACGAGGGAGGUUAGGAG
RNAcentral lists this ribosomal RNA (611 nucleotides) under uncultured bacterium. RNAcentral's name for it is "bacterial SSU rRNA". It matches the Rfam family "Bacterial small subunit ribosomal RNA", at positions 338 to 955 of the family's 1533-position model. The record is from RNAcentral.